Molecule: ribosomal RNA, 497 nt
Filed under: uncultured bacterium
Lineage: Bacteria
Description: partial 16S ribosomal RNA
Rfam family: Bacterial small subunit ribosomal RNA
Source: RNAcentral
GAUGAACGCUGGCGGCGUGCCUAAUACAUGCAAGUCGAGCGAACAGACGAGGAGCUUGCUCCUCUGACGUUAGCGGCGGACGGGUGAGUAACACGUGGAUAACCUACCUAUAAGACUGGGAUAACUUCGGGAAACCGGAGCUAAUACCGGAUAAUAUAUUGAACCGCAUGGUUCAAUAGUGAAAGACGGUUUUGCUGUCACGUAUAGAUGGAUCCGCGCCGCAUUAGCUAGUUGGUAAGGUAACGGCUUACCAAGGCAACGAUGCGUAGCCGACCUGAGAGGGUGAUCGGCCACACUGGAACUGAGACACGGUCCAGACUCCUACGGGAGGCAGCAGUAGGGAAUCUUCCGCAAUGGGCGAAAGCCUGACGGAGCAACGCCGCGUGAGUGAUGAAGGUCUUCGGAUCGUAAAACUCUGUUAUUAGGGAAGAACAAAUGUGUAAGUAACUAUGCACGUCUUGACGGUACCUAAUCAGAAAGCCACGGCUAACUACGUG